AUGUAAAAUCAUACAGUGGCCUUGCUGGCUUUCUUUGGUAAUCUUCCCUUAUGACAUCACACAUGUGACAUCAUCAAGUGUUUGGAGCUAUCUGUACCAGCCACUUGUACAGUUCAGGCCUUAGCUAUCAGAGGGAGCGCACACAAAGAGCAGGAGAUGAGGAAGAGGACAAGAUGACACAGGAGAGUGGCCUUGUCGGCUUUCUUUGGUAAUCUUCCCUUAUGACAUCACACAUGUGACAUCAUCAAGUGUUUGGAGCUAUCUGUACCAGCCACUUGUACAGUUCAGGCCUUAGCUAUCAGAGGGAGCGCACACAAAGAGCAGGAGAUGAGGAAGAGGACAAGAUGACACAGGAGAGUGGCCUUGCUGGCUUUCUUUGUUAAUCUUCCCUUAUGACAUCACACAUGUGACAUCAUCAAGUGUUUGGAGCUAUCUGUACCAGCCACUUGUACAGUUCAGGCCUUAGCUAUCAGAGGGAGCGCACACAAAGAGCAGGAGAUGAGGAAGAGGACAAGAUGACACAGGAGAGGUAAAUAAAUCCUAAAUAUUGGUCAGAAUACAUCUAGAGUUCUAGACUUGCAAAUGAUGACUAGAUCUAUUUAAUGUAAUGUGUCCAAAUAAUAAUGUAAAUUGUAUUAAAUCUAAUUAUUUUACUAGACACUUUGCUGAUGUUCACAAAUGACCAAGUAUAUAAUGUUUAUUCAAUUCUAUUACACAAAGAGUUGGGGGGUGCAAGUAUUGUAUGCGUAUAUUAAGUCUAUGGGGGAGAAUCAUCAAAAUCUGUGUAGAGGAAGAGUGGAGCAGUUGCACAUAGUAAUACUGAAUCAUAAAAAGAAAUGCAUACAUUGAAUUUUCUUUAACAGGAAUGUCCCACAGAGCAAAUUUGGUAAAAUCAGAUGUGUGCCCCAUACAUGUAUGUGUGAGAUUGCACUUCACCACUACUAGUAGCUCAGAGCUAAGCUGCUUCCUUCAUGCUCAUGGAGUUGAA
Molecule: long non-coding RNA, 988 nt
Organism: Hyla sarda
Lineage: Eukaryota; Metazoa; Chordata; Amphibia; Anura; Hylidae
Exons: 3
Source: RefSeq, a predicted model, not a curated record